This 262-nucleotide ribosomal RNA is filed under the name Escherichia coli. Its description in RNAcentral is "partial 23S ribosomal RNA". It matches the Rfam family "Bacterial large subunit ribosomal RNA", at positions 464 to 728 of the family's 2925-position model. Lineage: Bacteria; Pseudomonadati; Pseudomonadota; Gammaproteobacteria; Enterobacterales; Enterobacteriaceae. The record is from RNAcentral.
GGCUAAAUACUCCUGACUGACCGAUAGUGAACCAGUACCGUGAGGGAAAGGCGAAAAGAACCCCGGCGAGGGGAGUGAAAAAGAACCUGAAACCGUGUACGUACAAGCAGUGGGAGCACGCUUAGGCAUGUGACUGCGUACCUUUUGUAUAAUGGGUCAGCGACUUAUAUUCUGUAGCAAGGUUAACCGAAUAGGGGAGCCGAAGGGAAACCGAGUCUUAACUGGGCGUUAAGUUGCAGGGUAUAGACCCGAAACCCGGUGA